UCUAAAUAGUCAGUGCUUCACCCUAACUGCCAAACAAAGGAAAGGGAUUUCAAUUUCUAGUAAAUCAGCAAAACAAACAAUAUUAUACUUUAUUCUUUUACUCAUAAGGUCUGGAAACAAAAUUUAAAGUAGAAAGCUUGCAAAAAAAAAAAAAAAAACCCUAGGAAAAUGUAAUAAUAAUUAAAACAAAACAUAGUCAAUAAAAGCAGAACUGCAGAUGACACAAUUCCAGAAAUUAGCAAAAAAGAACUUUCAAAAUGCUUAAAUACUUUAAGAAACUAGCAGAAAAAGAUGAAUAUAAUGGAUGAAGUAAUGAAGUACAAUGGAUGAAGAAAUAAAGAAAUGAAAGCAAUGAAAAAUAUUUAAAAGUUCAUUUACAACUGAAAAUUGUAAUUUCUGGAAUGAAAAUCCACCAAAUGGGCUUAGUGGUAAGCUGGACACUGUAGAAAAUUGAUUGAGUCUGAAGGCAAGUCAAUAAAAAUUAUCCAAGCUAAAGAAGAAUGAGAAAAGAAAUUAGAAAAAAGAAAGAAGCAGAGUAUUGUUAAUCUUUAAGAUAAUAUCAAUCAAACAUAUAUAAAUAGAGUUCCAAAAGAAGAAGAGGAAAAAAAGGGAAGAAAAAUAUAUUUAAGUAAAUAAUUGCCAAAAUUUUCCAAAGUUUAAUGAGGAAACAACCCCUAGAUCCAAGAAUUGCAAUGAACCCUAAGUAGAAUAAAUAAAAGAAACAAAAAAGGAAAAAGAAAACUUGGGACCAGAAAAAAAACAAGAGCAGAAAAGGAACAAAAGCAACACAAACACAGGCAUGACAGGGGGCCACCACACGUAACACUUUCUUACUGGCUUAGACAUUUUGGAGAUCAAAGCAAGUACACCUUGGUUAAAAGAGAUAAUUUGUGUUGCUUAUAGAGGUAAUUUGGGUUAUUUAUGUAGUGGUUGAUUUUUAUUUCCAUUUUCUACUUUUAUUUCCAUCUUUAUAUCUAUAGUUUUUCUCCAUUUUCCACUUUUUCCAUAGUAAGCAAAUAUUAGUUAUAACAGGAA
RNAcentral lists this long non-coding RNA (1035 nucleotides) under Callithrix jacchus (white-tufted-ear marmoset). Its description in RNAcentral is "lncRNA (ENSCJAG00000081797.1)". Lineage: Eukaryota; Metazoa; Chordata; Mammalia; Primates; Cebidae. The record is from RNAcentral.